AGCGAACGCUGGCGGCAGGCCUAACACAUGCAAGUCGAACGAACCUUUCGGGGUUAGUGGCGGACGGGUGAGUAACACGUGGGAACGUGCCUUUAGGUUCGGAAUAACUCAGGGAAACUUGUGCUAAUACCGAAUGUGCCCUUCGGGGGAAAGAUUAAUCGCCUUUAGAGCGGCCCGCGUCUGAUUAGCUAGUUGGUUGAGGUAAUGGCUCACCAAGGCGACGAUCAGUAGCUGGUCUGAGAGGAUGAUCAGCCACAUUGGGACUGAGACACGGCCCAAACUCCUACGGGAGGCAGCAGUGGGGAAUCUUGCGCAAUGGGCGAAAGCCUGACGCAGCCAUGCCGCGUGAAUGAUGAAGGUCUUAGGAUUGUAAAAUUCUUUCACCGGGGACGAUAAUGACGCUACCCGGAGAAGAAGCCCCGGCUAACUUCGUG
Molecule: ribosomal RNA, 434 nt
Filed under: uncultured bacterium
Lineage: Bacteria
Description: partial 16S ribosomal RNA
Rfam family: Bacterial small subunit ribosomal RNA
Source: RNAcentral